Molecule: ribosomal RNA, 841 nt
Filed under: uncultured bacterium
Lineage: Bacteria
Description: bacterial SSU rRNA
Rfam family: Bacterial small subunit ribosomal RNA
Source: RNAcentral
AGAGUUUGAUUCUGGCUCAGGACGAACGCUGGCGGCGUGCCUAAUACAUGCAAGUCGAGCGAGCUUGCCUAGAUGAUUUUAGUGCUUGCACUAAAUGAAACUAGAUACAAGCGAGCGGCGGACGGGUGAGUAACACGUGGGUAACCUGCCCAAGAGACUGGGAUAACACCUGGAAACAGAUGCUAAUACCGGAUAACAACACGGGAGGGGUGUCUAGAGUUUGAAAGAUGGUUCUGCUAUCACUCUUGGAUGGACCUGCGGUGCAUUAGCUAGUUGGUAAGGUAACGGCUUACCAAGGCAAUGAUGCAUAGCCGAGUUGAGAGACUGAUCGGCCACAUUGGGACUGAGACACGGCCCAAACUCCUACGGGAGGCAGCAGUAGGGAAUCUUCCACAAUGGACGAAAGUCUGAUGGAGCAACGCCGCGUGAGUGAAGAAGGGUUUUCGGCUCGUAAAGCUCUGUUGGUAGUGAAGAAAGAUAGAGGUAGUAACUGGCCUUUAUUUGACGGUAAUUACUUAGAAAGUCACGGCUAACUACGUGCCAGCAGCCGCGGUAAUACGUAGGUGGCAAGCGUUGUCCGGAUUUAUUGGGCGUAAAGCGAGUGCAGGCGGUUCAAUAAGUCUGAUGUGAAAGCCCUCGGCUCAACCGGAGAAUUGCAUCAGAAACUGUUGAACUUGAGUGCAGAAGAGGAGAGUGGAACUCCAUGUGUAGCGGUGGAAUGCGUAGAUAUAUGGAAGAACACCAGUGGCGAAGGCGGCUCUCUGGUCUGCAACUGACGCUGAGGCUCGAAAGCAUGGGUAGCGAACAGAAUUAGAUACCCUGGUAGUCCAUGCCGUAAACG